Musa acuminata AAA Group (dessert banana) is the source of this 7951-nucleotide long non-coding RNA. RefSeq lists it as uncharacterized. The record is from RefSeq and is a predicted model, not a curated record. NCBI's taxonomy places the organism in Eukaryota, Viridiplantae, Streptophyta, Magnoliopsida, Zingiberales, Musaceae. The transcript has 2 exons.
UAAAAAUUAUUAAUAAAGAUUUAUUUAUAAAUUGGAGGACCUAUAUGUAAAUAUAGAAAUUUCAAAGACUAAACUGUUAAGUUGUAAAAAAAAGUAAAUAAAGAAAAACCGAAAAUUUCGGUUUUAUCCCACCGCCUCCCACGCACUCUCUGUUUCUUCGAGAAACAGAGAGGAGCGGUGGGGCAUGAGGAGUGAAGAAAAGAAGAAGAAGAGGGAAAAGAAGAGAGGAGGAAGAAGAGAGGAAGAAGAGGGAGAAGAGAAGAAGAAGAAGAGGAGGUGGCUGCAGCGUGGGCUGCAGCAAGGAGCUGUGGGGCGUGGGGAGAAGAAGAGAGGAAGAAGAGGGAGAAGAGAAGAAGAAGAAGAAGAAGAAGAAGAAGAAGAAGAAGAAGAGAGGAGGAUAGCUGCGGCAAGGCUGCAGCGAGGAGGUGUGUGGCUUUGGGGAGGAAAAGGGAAGAGGAGAAGAAGAGAAGGAGAAGAAGAGGGAAAAGAGAGGCAGCUGCAGCAGCCAGGGCUGCAGCACCUCUGUUCCCGCAGGUGGAAACAGAGGAGAGGAUGUGUGCGGCGUUGAGGAUGAAAAGGGAAGAAGAAGAAGAAGAAGAAGAAGAAGAAGAUAGCUGCGGCAAGGCUGCAGCGAGGAGAUGUGUGGCCUUGGGGAGGAAAAGGGAAGAGGGGAAGAGGAGAAGAAGAAGAAGAGGAAGAGAAAGAGGUGUGAUACCUCUGUUUCCUGCAGAGGAAACAGAGGAGAGGGUGUGUGUGACGCCGGGGAAGAAGGGGCUGCAGCUGCGGCGAUGGCAGCUGCAGCUGGAAGAGAAGAAGAAGAGGAAGAUGAGCAGGGGAGGAGGGAGAGGUUGCGGCCGUGGCUGCGGCCGCGACUGCAGCAGUUGCAGCGGGGAGAGAAGAAGAAGAAAGGAAGGAGAAGGAAGAGGAGAAGGGAAAGAAGUAGCUGCGGCUGCGGUUGUGGCAGCUGCAGCUAUGGCAGGGAAAGAGGAAGAGAAAAAGGAAAGGAAGAAGAAGAGAAAGGGAAGGAGAGGAAGAAGAGAGGAAGAGGAGAAGGGGCUGCGGCUGCGGCGAUGGCAGCUGCAGCUGUGGCAGGGAAAGAGAAAAAGGAAAGGAAGAAGAAGAGAAAGGGAAGGAGAGGAAGAAGAGAGGAAGAGGAGAAGGGGCUGCGGCUGCGGUGAUGGCAGCUGCAGCUGUGGCUGGGAAAGAAGAGAAGGAAAGGAAGAAGAAGAGAAAGGGAAGGAGAGGAAGAAGAGAGGAAGAGGAGAAGGGGUGGCAGCUGCGGUAGUGGCAGCUGCAGUUGGAAGAGAAGUAGGAGAGGAAAUAGAGUAGCAGAGGAAGUAGAGGCUGCGGUUGUGGUGGCUGCGGCCAUGGCUGCGACUGUGACUGCGGCAGUUGCAGCCGGGAAAGAAAGGAAAGGAAAGGGGAAAAAAAGGGGCUGCGGACGGGAUUGCGGCCGCAGCGGCAGCGACUGCGUAUGCAGCAGUUAUGUCUGCGAGAGAAGGGAAGAAGGAAAUAGUACAGUAGAAGGGGGCUGCGGUUGUGACCGCAGUUGCGGUCGUGGCUGCGAUUGUGGCAGCGGCAGCGGCGGCGACUGUGGCAGCUGCGUUUGGGAAAGAAAAAGAAGGAAUGAGAGUAAGAGAGAGCAGGUGACUGUGCCUCGAUGUUCGACACGUGAUGUAGUUACGAAGAAAGGAAGAAAAUGGGAGCACAAAACGAAACAGAGAGAGGACACGGAGGAAAAGUAGAAAGAUUGGAUUGGCACCUUCCUUGGAUAUUCAGAUCAAAAUAUUUGAAAGGCAAGUUCCCUGAUCGUUUCUCCUAUAAUUGCUCUGAUAUGUCUUAUUGCAAGUUCCCUGAUCGUUUCUCCUAUAAUUGCUCUGAUAUGUCUUAUUGCAAGUUCCCUAAUCGUUUCUCCUAUAAUUGCUCUGAUAUGUCUUAUUGCAAGUAUCCUGAUCUUUCCUCACUGUCAAUUUUAUCUCCACAUUUGCUUUGAAUAUGAGGAACUUUGAAUUGUUCUAGCCUUGCAUUUGAUAUAUCUCCUGUUUAGACGUAACGAUUCGAAUCUGUGCAACUUCUGAGAUUCUGACCUUUUGAUACCGAGCUGCCUAUAAGCCUUUGUGGAAACUCUGAUUUGUUCAAAACUGAUUUCAUUGGAACCUAGACUCGUAGACCUUUCCUUGAUAUAUGGAUUGAAAGAUUUGGAAUCUAAACACCUGCCCAGUUAUCUGUUGAAUCUGACAUUAUGAAUUCUGCCAAUAGAGAUUUUGUUCUACGACUCUUGCUUACCAAAUUAUUUGUAACUCUCUCUGUUGGACAUUUCAAUUCAUAUGAAGCCUGUCUUAUCUGAAAGUAUUAUCCAAUGAUUAUUUCUGAGUAAAUUGGAGCACGAUUGAUAGUUUGAAUCAUUUGUUCAAUGUGCCUUCUGUAUUCUGCCAGAAAUCGAGCUUUGGUCGAUUUCUCAUAUUCUGGUUUCAUUCCUUUGGAAAUUGAUAUCCUUUAGCUUUCUUAUUCAAUUGAGCUUUAUAUUACUUCUUUGAAUUCUUGUAUGCUCUUGUCCUAAAAAUUAUUUGCAUUCUUGAAAACUGUUGUGUAACGUUUAUGCUAUAUCAUAUUGACUCAUAUAGGCACAUGUAUAUCCUAUUAUUCCGCAUUUGCUUUCGAUAUGUGCCUAUUCCAGUUUCAUUCCUUUGGACAUUGAAUUCAUCAAAUCUUCUUAUUGAAUUGAGUUAUAUGUGAUUGCUUGGAUUCCAUAUGUGCCAUUGCUUUCAAUUCCUUUCAAAUCUGUAUAUACUUGUGAAAGAUUAUUGCUUACUUCGGAUUGACUCGUAAAGGCACAUGUACGUUUUGUUGUUCCGCGUGUGCUUCCAAUAUAUGCUACUUAUUGUUGAAACUGCCCUUUUGUACUCUGGUGUGUGGGAUUGUCUGGACCUUUGCCAGAAAUGGUAAAGGGUAUGCGCUGAUUUGCCCGCUUUGUGGGGUCCCGCUUUGUGGGAUAUUCUGGUAUGCGCUUAUUUGCCCGCUUUGUGGGGUCCCGCUUUGUGGGAUAUUGCUUAGAGCCUGCGAUGCUCUGCCGGCCCCCUUUGACUUCACCUAGACGUGGGUGGAUGGAGCUCCCAGACGUGGGAGACUUUUGUCAGGUGGUCAUUCAGAAAUGGAUGAAUCACAUUCUGACUGAGAUCCCACUACACCUUCUGUAUGUUUGAUAUGAUAUCCAGAGCUUUGGUUAUGUGUUUCUGUACAUGCUUUGGAUAAGAUUGAUAUGUUUGCAACGUCAAAGACGACGUUUGAGCUUCUGUACGGUAUUUGUUAUUGAUAUGCUCUGAAAUGUUUCCUCCACUGUUGAUAUGUUUCGAAAUGUUCCAUAUGUCGUUGAUAUGCUCCGGAACAUUUCAUACGCCAUUGAUAUGCUCCAAUUACUCUGUGCUCCAUUUGCUAUGAACUGAUAUGUUCUGAAAUGUCCUAUCUGCCAUUGAUAUGCUCCAAUUACUCUGUGCCCCAUUUGUUAUGAAUCAAAUAUGUUUUGAAUGACAUGAUACUUAUGAUUUUGUAUCUAAUGAGAUGGUAUCCUUGAGAAUUCUUGUAUUCUGCCUUACAUUAUGAUACCUUACUCGUUUGAAACCGUUCCUUUUGUUCUGAAUAUGUUUUGUCACUUGUUGAGCCGUUUUUGGCUCACUCCGUUGUUAUAUAAAUCUUUCAGGUCAGCUUGUCACUCUUCGAGAUGUUUGAUUUGGGAUUGAGGCAGUGGAUAGCUAUUCAGAAUUAUGGGCAAGUCUUGUCGGUUGUUAUGCUAUUGUUGUAUAAGCAUAUUUUGUAUGUAAUGAAUUGUUCUGAUGAUCGAAAUGGAUAUACUGUGUAAAAGUGUUAGAAGAUCUCUGUUAUUUGGAAUUUCGGAAUGUUAAGUCUAAUUUAUGACGAUAUGAACUUGUGAUGAAUAGUUGGAGUUCUGAUUGUAUAAUUUAUUUAGCUUGUGGAUUUAUAAAUGUUGUUCAUGUUUGUCAAGUUGGCUUGGGUUGCCAUAAAUGUGAAAUAUCGAGUGAUGUGAUAUAUGAUUUUAAAAUGCACAGGUUUUAUGGAUGUGAAUUUGAUUGAAUGUUUUUCAGUGUCCUCAAACGUUAGUUUGGAUCCUGGAUUGGUUUGUGACGAAAAGUUUAAAAAUCAUGGAUAUAUUUUGAGGGGACGUGACAGAGGUGGUAUCAGAGCAUGGUUUGAGGAUUACUGAAAUAUUUGAUAUGUUGACGUGUAAAAUAUAUUGAGGUCUAGUGAACUGUAGUGAUCGGUGGAAAUUUUCUUUGAUGCAUUUUAGGAAUCUGGGAUGACGAGGACAUUUGGUCCUCCUAUUUCAUCUGAUUUUGAUUAAUUAAGUGGGAUGAAUGGGGUAAUCGGGGAUAUUGAAUCAGAGUGGCACAGCAUGGUGCACCUAAUCCAUUGGUGGCAGAAAAAUGGAUAAUGCGAAUAGAGAAGAUAUUUGAUGUUCAAAAUUGUUCUGAUGAUUAAACGAUUUCUUUUGCCACCUUAUAUUGGAAGUAGAGGCUGAUCAUUAAUGGGAACAAAAAAAAAAAAUUUGAAGAUCAGUGGCAAGAAUGAUAAGGACAAGUUUACCAAAAAAAAAAAGAUUGAAAAUGAAUCAGAAAGUGAUAACAAGAGGGUCGAGACAUUUGAAUUUGAAAAGGGAAGUCAUCACAAAAGACUCAAUCAUGUGUGAAUUGCAAGUUAAAUUAUGAAACAAGUUUGUGUUGGUGGGUGACUGGAGUCUAUUCGUUUGUAGAAAGUUGGAUCAUAAAACAAAAGACUGCCAUUUGAACAAUAAGAAAGAGUCACUGUCUCAUAAAUCAUCAGCCCAUGUCAGAGUGUAUGCUAUCACUGAAUAUGAUUCUAAAACUUCUGAAUUAGUGAUCAAAGGUAUUAUACAUGUUUAUGAAAGAAUGCAAAUAUUUGUUUGACCAUGGGUCCUAUCUACGAUUUGAUUCGUAACAUGUUGCCUAUCACUUGGGUAUUCAACCUAGACCACUGUAUUAUGUGAUAUAUGUAAGUACAAUCAAUGGAGAUUCUUUGAUAACGAACUUGAAUCUGGUCCUCUUGUCUGAUUUUUGUUGGAGAACUUGAACUUUUGCUGAUUUAGUUCUCCUAGAGAUUUGGAGUUAUGAUAUUAUACUUGGUAUGGAUUGACUAUCUUCUUAUCAUACCAGUAUGGAUUGGUAUAUAACGAAUGAUCACUUUUUGCAUAUUUGAUCAACUGAUCUUUUAUUUUGAGAGUAUUGGACAUUAUUUAUCUCCUUGCCUAAUGUAUCCCAAGAUGACUUGUUUGGAUUACCUGCAAAUGUGAUUUUGCUUUUGAUUUGGUCCUUGGGACAAUCCUAAAAUCUAAGCUUCUCUACAAAAUGAUAUCAUUUGAGUAAGCGGCAUUAGAAAAACAACUACAAGGAUUACUAAAUGAGGAUUUUAUUUGGCUUAAUAUUUUAUCAUGAGGUGCUUUGGUGUUAGUUAAAAAGAUGGAUGGAACAUUGAGGCUUUGUAAUGAUUAUGGAUAGUUGAAUCAGGUGAUCAUCAAAAACGAGUAUUUUCUGAAGUAACGACUUGCUUGAUUAAUUACAAGGUGCGCAAGUAUUUUUAGAAAUUGAUUGAAGGUCGGGUUACCGUCUAUUGAGGAUCAAGGAGGAGAAUAUUUCGGUCACUCGUGAAUAAUUAUGUAAUUGUAUUGUAUUGAUGAAACUAUUUAAGAGUAGGAGGAGGAAAUAAAGAUAUCAUAAUCCUCAUCUUUUCAUCGAUUGAGCUAUGAUCAAUUUAGAGGACUAAAUUUUCUUUUAAGGGGGGGAGAGUGUAAUAUCCCUCGCUUUUAAAAAUUAUUAAUAAAGAUUUAUUUAUAAAUUGGAGGACCUAUAUGUAAAUAUAGAAAUUUCAAAGACUAAACUGUUAAGUUGUAAAAAAAAGUAAAUAAAGAAAAACCGAAAAUUUCGGUUUUAUCCCACCGCCUCCCACGCACUCUCUGUUUCUUCGAGAAACAGAGAGGAGCGGUGGGGCAUGAGGAGUGAAGAAAAGAAGAAGAAGAGGGAAAAGAAGAGAGGAGGAAGAAGAGAGGAAGAAGAGGGAGAAGAGAAGAAGAAGAAGAGGAGGUGGCUGCAGCGUGGGCUGCAGCAAGGAGCUGUGGGGCGUGGGGAGAAGAAGAGAGGAAGAAGAGGGAGAAGAGAAGAAGAAGAAGAAGAAGAAGAAGAAGAAGAAGAAGAGAGGAGGAUAGCUGCGGCAAGGCUGCAGCGAGGAGGUGUGUGGCUUUGGGGAGGAAAAGGGAAGAGGAGAAGAAGAGAAGGAGAAGAAGAGGGAAAAGAGAGGCAGCUGCAGCAGCCAGGGCUGCAGCACCUCUGUUCCCGCAGGUGGAAACAGAGGAGAGGAUGUGUGCGGCGUUGAGGAUGAAAAGGGAAGAAGAAGAAGAAGAAGAAGAAGAAGAAGAUAGCUGCGGCAAGGCUGCAGCGAGGAGAUGUGUGGCCUUGGGGAGGAAAAGGGAAGAGGGGAAGAGGAGAAGAAGAAGAAGAGGAAGAGAAAGAGGUGUGAUACCUCUGUUUCCUGCAGAGGAAACAGAGGAGAGGGUGUGUGUGACGCCGGGGAAGAAGGGGCUGCAGCUGCGGCGAUGGCAGCUGCAGCUGGAAGAGAAGAAGAAGAGGAAGAUGAGCAGGGGAGGAGGGAGAGGUUGCGGCCGUGGCUGCGGCCGCGACUGCAGCAGUUGCAGCGGGGAGAGAAGAAGAAGAAAGGAAGGAGAAGGAAGAGGAGAAGGGAAAGAAGUAGCUGCGGCUGCGGUUGUGGCAGCUGCAGCUAUGGCAGGGAAAGAGGAAGAGAAAAAGGAAAGGAAGAAGAAGAGAAAGGGAAGGAGAGGAAGAAGAGAGGAAGAGGAGAAGGGGCUGCGGCUGCGGCGAUGGCAGCUGCAGCUGUGGCAGGGAAAGAGAAAAAGGAAAGGAAGAAGAAGAGAAAGGGAAGGAGAGGAAGAAGAGAAAGGGAAGGAGAGGAAGAAGAGAGGAAGAGGAGAAGGGGCUGCGGCUGCGGUGAUGGCAGCUGCAGCUGUGGCUGGGAAAGAAGAGAAGGAAAGGAAGAAGAAGAGAAAGGGAAGGAGAGGAAGAAGAGAGGAAGAGGAGAAGGGGUGGCAGCUGCGGUAGUGGCAGCUGCAGUUGGAAGAGAAGUAGGAGAGGAAAUAGAGUAGCAGAGGAAGUAGAGGCUGCGGUUGUGGUGGCUGCGGCCAUGGCUGCGACUGUGACUGCGGCAGUUGCAGCCGGGAAAGAAAGGAAAGGAAAGGAGAAAAAAAGGGGCUGCGGACGGGAUUGCGGCCGCAGCGGCAGCGACUGCGUAUGCAGCAGUUAUGUCUGCGAGAGAAGGGAAGAAGGAAAUAGUACAGUAGAAGGGGGCUGCGGUUGUGACCGCAGUUGCGGUCGUGGCUGCGAUUGUGGCAGCGGCAGCGGCGGCGACUGUGGCAGCUGCGUUUGGGAAAGAAAAAGAAGGAAUGAGAGUAAGAGAGAGCAGGUGACUGUGCCUCGAUGUUCGACACGUGAUGUAGUUACGAAGAAAGGAAGAAAACGGGAGCACAAAACGAAACAGAGAGAGGACACGGAGGAAAAGUAGAAAGAUUGGAUUGGCACCUUCCUUGGAUAUUCAGAUCAAAAUAUUUGAAAGGUCAGCUUGUCACUCUUCGAGAUGUUUGAUUUGGGCUGAGGCAGUGGAUAGCUAUUCAGAAUUAUGGGCAAGUCUUGUCGGUUGUUAUGCUAUUGUUGUAUAAGCAUAUUUUGUAUGUAAUGAAUUGUUCUGAUGAUCGAAAUGGAUAUACUGUGUAAAAGUGUUAGAAGAUCUCUGUUAUUUGGAAUUUCGGAAUGUUAAGUCUAAUUUAUGACGAUAUGAACUUGUGAUGAAUAGUUGGAGUUCUGAUUGUAUAAUUUAUUUAGCUUGUGGAUUUAUAAAUGUUGUUCAUGUUUGUCAA